GGGCCGGUAGCUCAGUUGGUUAGAGCGCGCGCUUGAUAAGCGUGAGGUCGGAGGUUCAAGUCCUCCUCGGCCCACCA
Molecule: transfer RNA, 77 nt
Filed under: Alphaproteobacteria bacterium
Lineage: Bacteria; Pseudomonadati; Pseudomonadota; Alphaproteobacteria
Description: tRNA-Ile
Rfam family: tRNA
About the family: Transfer RNA (tRNA) molecules are approximately 80 nucleotides in length. Their secondary structure includes four short double-helical elements and three loops (D, anti-codon, and T loops). Further hydrogen bonds mediate the characteristic L-shaped molecular structure. tRNAs have two regions of fundamental functional importance: the anti-codon, which is responsible for specific mRNA codon recognition, and the 3' end, to which the tRNAs corresponding amino acid is attached (by aminoacyl-tRNA synthetases). tRNAs cope with the degeneracy of the genetic code in two manners: having more than one tRNA (with a specific anti-codon) for a particular amino acid; and 'wobble' base-pairing, i.e. permitting non-standard base-pairing at the 3rd anti-codon position.
Source: RNAcentral